Molecule: unclassified non-coding RNA, 301 nt
Filed under: uncultured fungus
Lineage: Eukaryota; Fungi
Description: partial internal transcribed spacer 2
Source: RNAcentral
AACGCAUAUUGCACCCAAGUGGGAAACUACAGGGUAUACUUGCCUGAGAAUAUGUAUGUGUGAAUAAUCAAUCGAUAUUUUCGUUUUGAUUAGUAUUGAGGAGUUCGAAUUUUUUUUUAAAAGAAAAGUUCGUCCCUUUAAAUUAAUUUGGGAAAAGGAUAUAUAAAAAGGAAUAACUAAAAAGGAAGCAUUGUUGAUUACUCCAUUAUCGAUGGAUUAUUUUUAUGCGAUCCUGAAAUUAGUUUUUUUCUUCUAUCAUCUUCAUAAUCUCAGUUUAAGUAAGACUACCCGCUGAACUUAA